This 253-nucleotide ribosomal RNA is filed under the name uncultured bacterium. RNAcentral describes it as "partial 16S ribosomal RNA". It matches the Rfam family "Bacterial small subunit ribosomal RNA", at positions 524 to 776 of the family's 1533-position model. The record is from RNAcentral.
UACGGGGGGGGCAAGCGUUGUUCGGAAUUACUGGGCGUAAAGGGCUCGUAGGUGGCCAACUAAGUCAGACGUGAAAUCCCUCGGCUUAACCGGGGAACUGCGUCCGAUACUGGCAGGCUUGAAUCCGGGAGAGGGAUGUGGAAUUCCAGGUGUAGCGGUGAAAUGCGUAGAUAUCUGGAGGAACACCGGUGGCGAAGGCAGUCCGCUGGGCCGUUGCUGACGCUGAGGCGCGACAGCGUGGGGAGCAAACAGG